GAGUUUGAUCGUGGCUCAGAUUGAACGCUGGCGGCAUGCCUUACACAUGCAAGUCGAACGGUAACAGGUCUUCGGAUGCUGACGAGUGGCGAACGGGUGAGUAAUACAUCGGAACGUGCCCGAUCGUGGGGGAUAACGGAGCGAAAGCUUUGCUAAUACCGCAUACGAUCUACGGAUGAAAGCAGGGGACCGCAAGGCCUUGCGCGGACGGAGCGGCCGAUGGCAGAUUAGGUAGUUGGUGGGAUAAAAGCUUACCAAGCCGACGAUCUGUAGCUGGUCUGAGAGGACGACCAGCCACACUGGGACUGAGACACGGCCCAGACUCCUACGGGAGGCAGCAGUGGGGAAUUUUGGACAAUGGGCGAAAGCCUGAUCCAGCCAUGCCGCGUGCAGGAUGAAGGCCUUCGGUU
This 410-nucleotide ribosomal RNA is filed under the name uncultured microorganism. RNAcentral describes it as "bacterial SSU rRNA". It matches the Rfam family "Bacterial small subunit ribosomal RNA", at positions 9 to 423 of the family's 1533-position model. The record is from RNAcentral.